AUUGAACGCUGGCGGCAGGCCUAACACAUGCAAGUCGAGCGAGCGGCGGACGGGUGUGUAAUGUCUGGGAAACUGCCUGAUGGCGGGGGAUAACUCCUGGAAACGGUAGCUAAUACCGCAUACCAUCAGAUGUGCCCAGAUGGGAUUAGAUAGUAGGUGGGGUAACGGCCCACCUAGGCGACGAUCCCUAGCUGGUCUGAGAGGCUGACCAGCCACACUGGAACUGAGACACGGUCCAGACUCCGACGGGAGGCAGCAGUGGGGAAUAUUGCACAAUAGGCGCAAGCCUGAUGCAGCCAGGCCGCGUGUGUGAAGAAGGCCUUCGGGUUGUAAAGCACUUUCAGCGGGGAGGCGUUACCCGCAGAAGAAGCACCGGCUAACUCCGUGCCAGCGGCCGCGGUAAUUC
This 406-nucleotide ribosomal RNA is filed under the name uncultured bacterium. Its description in RNAcentral is "partial 16S ribosomal RNA". It matches the Rfam family "Bacterial small subunit ribosomal RNA", at positions 30 to 526 of the family's 1533-position model. The record is from RNAcentral.